GUCUCUUUAGCCCAAGUAGUAAAGCACAGGACUUGUAAACAAGUUGUCGUGAGUUCAAUCCUCACAAGAGGCA
Molecule: transfer RNA, 73 nt
Filed under: Acanthoscelides obtectus
Lineage: Eukaryota; Metazoa; Arthropoda; Insecta; Coleoptera; Chrysomelidae
Rfam family: tRNA
About the family: Transfer RNA (tRNA) molecules are approximately 80 nucleotides in length. Their secondary structure includes four short double-helical elements and three loops (D, anti-codon, and T loops). Further hydrogen bonds mediate the characteristic L-shaped molecular structure. tRNAs have two regions of fundamental functional importance: the anti-codon, which is responsible for specific mRNA codon recognition, and the 3' end, to which the tRNAs corresponding amino acid is attached (by aminoacyl-tRNA synthetases). tRNAs cope with the degeneracy of the genetic code in two manners: having more than one tRNA (with a specific anti-codon) for a particular amino acid; and 'wobble' base-pairing, i.e. permitting non-standard base-pairing at the 3rd anti-codon position.
Source: Rfam by way of RNAcentral